UAGGGAAUCUUCCACAAUGGACGCAAGUCUGAUGGAGCAACGCCGCGUGAGUGAAGAAGGUUUUCGGACCGUAAAGCUCUGUUGUUGGUGAAGAAGGAUAGAGGUAGUAACUGGCCUUUAUUUGACGGUAAUCAACCAGAAAGUCACGGCUAACUACGUGCCAGCAGCCGCGGUAAUACGUAGGUGCCAAGCGUUGUCCGGAUUUAUUGGGCGUAAAGCGAGCGCAGGCGGAAGAAUAAGUCUGAUGUGAAAGCCCUCGGCUUAACCGAGGAAUUGCAUCGGAAACUGUUUUCUUGAGUGCAGAAGAGGAGAGUAGAACUCCAUGUGUAGCGGUGGAAUGCGUAGAUAUAUGGAAGAAUACCAGUGGCGAAGGCGGCUCUCUGGUCUGCAACUGACGCUGAGGCUCGAAAGCAUGGGUAGCGAACAGGAUUAGAUACCCUGGUAGUCCAUGCCGUAAACGAUGAGUGCUAAGUGUUGGGAGGCUUCCGCCUCUCAGUGCUGCAGCUAACGCAUUAAGCACUCCGCCUGGGGGAGUACGACCGCAAGGUUGAAAC
Molecule: ribosomal RNA, 554 nt
Filed under: uncultured bacterium
Lineage: Bacteria
Description: partial 16S ribosomal RNA
Rfam family: Bacterial small subunit ribosomal RNA
Source: RNAcentral